Molecule: ribosomal RNA, 1510 nt
Filed under: Enterobacter cloacae
Lineage: Bacteria; Pseudomonadati; Pseudomonadota; Gammaproteobacteria; Enterobacterales; Enterobacteriaceae
Description: bacterial SSU rRNA
Rfam family: Bacterial small subunit ribosomal RNA
Source: RNAcentral
AUUAGAGUUUGAUCGUGGCUCAGAUUGAACGCUGGCGGCAGGCCUAACACAUGCAAGUCGAACGGUAGCACAGAGAGCUUGCUCUCGGGUGACGAGUGGCGGACGGGUGAGUAAUGUCUGGGAAACUGCCUGAUGGAGGGGGAUAACUACUGGAAACGGUAGCUAAUACCGCAUAAUGUCGCAAGACCAAAGAGGGGGACCUUCGGGCCUCUUGCCAUCAGAUGUGCCCAGAUGGGAUUAGCUAGUAGGUGGGGUAACGGCUCACCUAGGCGACGAUCCCUAGCUGGUCUGAGAGGAUGACCAGCCACACUGGAACUGAGACACGGUCCAGACUCCUACGGGAGGCAGCAGUGGGGAAUAUUGCACAAUGGGCGCAAGCCUGAUGCAGCCAUGCCGCGUGUAUGAAGAAGGCCUUCGGGUUGUAAAGUACUUUCAGCGGGGAGGAAGGUGUUGUGGCUAAUAACCACAGCAAUUGACGUUACCCGCAGAAGAAGCACCGGCUAACUCCGUGCCAGCAGCCGCGGUAAUACGGAGGGUGCAAGCGUUAAUCGGAAUUACUGGGCGUAAAGCGCACGCAGGCGGUCUGUCAAGUCGGAUGUGAAAUCCCCGGGCUCAACCUGGGAACUGCAUUCGAAACUGGCAGGCUAGAGUCUUGUAGAGGGGGGUAGAAUUCCAGGUGUAGCGGUGAAAUGCGUAGAGAUCUGGAGGAAUACCGGUGGCGAAGGCGGCCCCCUGGACAAAGACUGACGCUCAGGUGCGAAAGCGUGGGGAGCAAACAGGAUUAGAUACCCUGGCAGUCCACGCCGUAAACGAUGUCGAUUUGGAGGUUGUGCCCUUGAGGCGUGGCUUCCGGAGCUAACGCGUUAAAUCGACCGCCUGGGGAGUACGGCCGCAAGGUUAAAACUCAAAUGAAUUGACGGGGGCCCGCACAAGCGGUGGAGCAUGUGGUUUAAUUCGAUGCAACGCGAAGAACCUUACCUGGUCUUGACAUCCACAGAACUUUCCAGAGAUGGAUUGGUGCCUUCGGGAACUGUGAGACAGGUGCUGCAUGGCUGUCGUCAGCUCGUGUUGUGAAAUGUUGGGUUAAGUCCCGCAACGAGCGCAACCCUUAUCCUUUGUUGCCAGCGGUUAGGCCGGGAACUCAAAGGAGACUGCCAGUGAUAAACUGGAGGAAGGUGGGGAUGACGUCAAGUCAUCAUGGCCCUUACGACCAGGGCUACACACGUGCUACAAUGGCGCAUACAAAGAGAAGCGACCUCGCGAGAGCAAGCGGACCUCAUAAAGUGCGUCGUAGUCCGGAUUGGAGUCUGCAACUCGACUCCAUGAAGUCGGAAUCGCUAGUAAUCGUAGAUCAGAAUGCUACGGUGAAUACGUUCCCGGGCCUUGUACACACCGCCCGUCACACCAUGGGAGUGGGUUGCAAAAGAAGUAGGUAGCUUAACCUUCGGGAGGGCGCUUACCACUUUGUGAUUCAUGACUGGGGUGAAGUCGUAACAAGGUAUCCGUAAAU